GGUGCCCGUACCGCAAACCGACACAGGUAGGCGAGAAGAGUAUUCUAAGGCGCGCGGAAGAACUCUCGUUAAGGAACUCGGCAAAAUGACCCCGUAACUUCGGGAGAAGGGGUGCCCCGGUAGUGUGAAUAGCACGAGGGGGCCGCAGUGAAAAGGCCCAAGCGACUGUUUAGCAAAAACACAGGUCUGUGCGAAGCCGUAAGGCGAAGUAUACGGGCUGACGCCUGCCCGGUGCUGGAAGGUUAAGGGGAGUGGUUAGGGAGUAAUCCCGAAGCUGUGAACCGAAGCCCCAGUAAACGGCGGCCGUAACUAUAACGGUCCUAAGGUAGCGAAAUUCCUUGUCAGGUAAAUUCUGACCCGCACGAAUGGCGUAACGACUUGGGCGCUGUCUCAACGAGAGAUCCGGUGAAAUUUUAAUACCUGUGAAGAUGCAGGUUACCCGCGACAAGACGGAAAGACCCCAUGGAGCUUUACUGCAGCUUGAUAUUGAAUUUGGGUACGAUCUGUACAGGAUAGGUGGGAGCCUUUGAAGUGGGAGCGCAAGCUUCCAUGGAGGCAACGUUGGGAUACCACCCUGAUCGUAUCUAGGUUCUAACCUGGUACCGUAAUCCGGUGCGGGGACAGUGUCAGGUGGGCAGUUUGACUGGGGCGGUCGCCUCCUAAAGAGUAACGGAGGCGCCCAAAGGUUCCCUCAGAAUGGUUGGAAAUCAUUCGAAGAGUGCAAAGGCAUAAGGGAGCUUGACUGCGAGACCUACAAGUCGAGCAGGGACGAAAGUCGGGCUUAGUGAUCCGGUGGUACCGCAUGGAAGGGCCAUCGCUCAACGGAUAAAAGCUACCCUGGGGAUAACAGGCUUAUCUCCCCCAAGAGUCCACAUCGACGGGGAGGUUUGGCACCUCGAUGUCGGCUCAUCGCAUCCUGGGGCUGAAGUAGGUCCCAAGGGUUGGGCUGUUCGCCCAUUAAAGCGGUACGCGAGCUGGGUUCAGAACGUCGUGAGACAGUUCGGUCCCUAUCUGUCGUGGGCGUAGGAAAUUUGAGAGGAGCUGUCCUUAGUACGAGAGGACCGGGAUGGACGUACCGCUGGUGUACCAGUUGUUCCGCCAGGAGCACCGCUGGGUAGCUAUGUACGGACGGGAUAAACGCUGAAAGCAUCUAAGCGUGAAGCCCCCCUCAAGAUGAGAUUUCCCAGUAUGUAAGACCCCUUGAAGACGACGAGGUAGAUAGGCUGGGGGUGGAAGUGCAGCAAUGCAUGGAGCUGACCAGUACUAAUCGGUCGAGGGCUUAUCCAAU
RNAcentral lists this ribosomal RNA (1288 nucleotides) under Paenibacillus sp. CF095. Its description in RNAcentral is "bacterial LSU rRNA". It matches the Rfam family "Bacterial large subunit ribosomal RNA", at positions 1637 to 2925 of the family's 2925-position model. The record is from RNAcentral. Lineage: Bacteria; Bacillati; Bacillota; Bacilli; Caryophanales; Paenibacillaceae.